GUUGGCCUACGGGGCGCAGCAGUGGGGAAUAUUGGGCAAUGGACGCAAGUCCGACCCAGCAACGCCGCGUGAAGGAAGAAGGCUUUCGGGUUGUAAACUUCUUUUAAGGGGGAAGAGCAGAAGACGGUACUCCUUGAAUAAGCCACGGCUAUCUACGUGCCAGCAGCCGCGGUAAUACGUGGGUGGCAAGCGUUGUCCGGAUUUACUGGGUGUAAAGGGCGUGCAGCCGGGA
This 232-nucleotide ribosomal RNA is filed under the name uncultured bacterium. Its description in RNAcentral is "partial 16S ribosomal RNA". It matches the Rfam family "Bacterial small subunit ribosomal RNA", at positions 333 to 580 of the family's 1533-position model. The record is from RNAcentral.